Molecule: ribosomal RNA, 497 nt
Filed under: uncultured bacterium
Lineage: Bacteria
Description: partial 16S ribosomal RNA
Rfam family: Bacterial small subunit ribosomal RNA
Source: RNAcentral
GACGAACGCUGGCGGCGUGCCUAAUACAUGCAAGUCGAGCGCUGAAGGUUGCUACUUGUCCCAAUUGGUUGAGCAGCAAACGGGUGAGUAACGCGUGGGGCCUCUGCCUUUGAGCGGGGGACAACAGUUUGAAACGAAUGCUCAUACCGCAUAAAAACUUUAAACACAAGGUUUAAGUUUGAAAGAUGCAAUUGCAUCACGCAAAGAUGAUCUCGCGUUUUAUUAGCUAGGUGGGGAGGUAAAGGCCCACCAAGGGGAUGUUACAUAGCCGACCUGAGAGGGUGAGCGGCCAACUUGGGAAUGAAGAACGGCCCAAAACACUACGGGAGGCAGCAGGAGGGGAUCUUUGGCAAUGGACGAAAGUCUGGCCGAGGAACGCCGGGGGAGUGAAGAAGGUUUUCGGAUCGUAAAACUCUGUUGGUAGAGAAGAAUGUUGGUGAGAGUGGAAAGCUCAUCUAGUGACGGUACCUAACCAGAAAGCAACGGCUAACUACGUG